GCGGCAGGCCUAACACAUGCAAGUCGAGCGGAAACGAGUUAACUGAACCUUCGGGGAACGUUAACGGCGUCGAGCGGCGGACGGGUGAGUAAUGCCUAGGAAAUUGCCCUGAUGUGGGGGAUAACCAUUGGAAACGAUGGCUAAUACCGCAUGAUGCCUACGGGCCAAAGAGGGGGACCUUCGGGCCUCUCGCGUCAGGAUAUGCCUAGGUGGGAUUAGCUAGUUGGUGAGGUAAGGGCUCACCAAGGCGACGAUCCCUAGCUGGUCUGAGAGGAUGAUCAGCCACACUGGAACUGAGACACGGUCCAGACUCCUACGGGAGGCAGCAGUGGGGAAUAUUGCACAAUGGGCGCAAGCCUGAUGCAGCCAUGCCGCGUGUGUGAAGAAGGCCUUCGGGUUGUAAAGCACUUUCAGUCGUGAGGAAGGUUUAUGCGUUAAUAGCGUAUAGAUUUGACGUUAGCGACAGAAGAAGCACCGGCUAACUCCGU
RNAcentral lists this ribosomal RNA (488 nucleotides) under marine sediment bacterium ISA-6186. RNAcentral's name for it is "bacterial SSU rRNA". It matches the Rfam family "Bacterial small subunit ribosomal RNA", at positions 39 to 506 of the family's 1533-position model. The record is from RNAcentral.